CUGAAUUGUCAAUGCGGAAAUGUAAACUGAAGUCUAAUAAUCCACUAUAUACUUAAAAUUCACGUCAAAAUAUACUCCAUGUAAACAUCUAAAAUCAUAUGCACAUAAACCGUCUGAUCAAUACUCUGUACACGGCCGUAUCCCCUCAGUGCACAAGGUGGAAACAACAUAAUCAUCCUUAUACACGACUGUAACUCCUUAGUGUAUAGGAGUUAAAUACACAACUCUAGUACACGGUUGUAACCCCUCAGUGUACAAGAUGGAAAUAACAUAAUCAUCCUUAUACACGGUUGUAGCCCCUCAGUGUAUAAAAGUUAAAUACAUGACUCUAGUACACGACCGUAGCCCCCUCAGUGUAUAGGAGUUAAAUACAUGACUCUGGUACACGAUCGUAGUCCCUCAGUGUAUAAGAUAGAAAUAACAUAAUCAUUCUUAUACAUGGCUAUAGCCUCUCAGUGUAUAGGAAUCCCCUCAGUGUAUAGGAGUUAAAUACGUGACUCUAGUACACGAAUGUAGCCCCUCAGUGUACAAGAUGAAAAUAACAUAAUCAUCCUUAUACGCAGCUGUAGCCCUCAGUUUAUAGGAGUUAAAUACAUGACUCUAGUACACGGCCUAGCCCCUUAGUGCACUAGAGUAAGGUAAU
RNAcentral lists this long non-coding RNA (643 nucleotides) under Olea europaea subsp. europaea. Lineage: Eukaryota; Viridiplantae; Streptophyta; Magnoliopsida; Lamiales; Oleaceae. The record is from RNAcentral.